Molecule: long non-coding RNA, 476 nt
Filed under: Capsicum annuum
Lineage: Eukaryota; Viridiplantae; Streptophyta; Magnoliopsida; Solanales; Solanaceae
Description: long non-coding RNA (CANN_LNC001063)
Source: RNAcentral
ACCCGAAGGGAUAGAGCUCGGAAUGAGACUAUCCGGGAGAAGGUUGGGGUGACUUCAGUGGAGUGUAAGAUGCGGGAAGCACGAUUGAGAUGGUUCGGACACGUGAAGAGGAGGGGCAUGGAUGCCCCGGUCCGUAGGUGUGAGAGGCUAGCGUUGGAUGGUUUUAGACGGGGUAGGGGUAGACCGAAGAAGUACUGGGGUGAGGUGAUUAGGCGAGACAUGGAACAGUUACAGCUCACCGAGGACAUGACCCUAGAUAGGAAGGUCUGGAAGAUGCGAAUUACUGCAGAGGGUUAGGGCCUGUGCGGGUCGCUAAUGUAGGGAGGUAAUUGGUGGGGGUGUAUUCCUGGUAUGAUUCCGUAUUCAAUGUUCUGUUCCGUGUUCCGUGUUCUAUGUUUGUUACGAAUCUGUGUGCUUUCCUCUGCUUUAUAUUCCUGCAUCCCUGCUUUACUCUGUUUUAUAUUCCUUAUGGCUGC